RNAcentral lists this long non-coding RNA (411 nucleotides) under Sinocyclocheilus grahami. Its description in RNAcentral is "lncRNA (ENSSGRG00000025238.1)". The record is from RNAcentral. Lineage: Eukaryota; Metazoa; Chordata; Actinopteri; Cypriniformes; Cyprinidae.
CUUAUUUUGACACAAAGUCCAGCAUUUUUUCUUCUAGCAAAGCAUGACACGGUGAUUCAAAGUCUUUUUCGUGUUUGUUCCCCUGUAAGGUGAAGUUUCAGAACAAUGAAGUGAUUGUCCGAGAGGGAGCAGAGGGAAAUGCGUUUUACAUCAUUCUCAAAGGAGAGGUUUUAGUGACAAAAAAUGUGAACGGACAGCAGAAAUUCAUUCGUAAGAUGGGUGAGGGGGAACACUUUGGAGAACUGGCUCUAAUACGAGAGAUCCUCAGGACAGCCACAUGCACAGCGGUGGGAGCUGUCACUUGCUUUUCCAUUGAUAAAGAGGUUUUUGAGGAGACCAUUCCUUUUGAAAGCCUUGAGCUCCAUGAUGAGUGAGUUUUCCUGCUUUGAAACUUCUACAUUUGUAAAGAUU